This 253-nucleotide ribosomal RNA is filed under the name uncultured bacterium. RNAcentral's name for it is "partial 16S ribosomal RNA". It matches the Rfam family "Bacterial small subunit ribosomal RNA", at positions 524 to 776 of the family's 1533-position model. The record is from RNAcentral.
UACGGAGGGGGCUAGCGUUGUUCGGAAUUAUUGGGCGUAAAGCGCACGUAGGCGGUUCGUUAAGUCGGAUGUGAAAGCCCUCGGCUCAACUGAGGAAGUGCACCCGAAACUGGCGAGCUUGAGUACGAAAGAGGAUCGCGGAAUUCCCGGUGUAGAGGUGAAAUUCGUAGAUAUCGGGAGGAACACCGGUGGCGAAGGCGGCGAUCUGGGUCGAUACUGACGCUGAGGUGCGAAAGCGUGGGGAGCAAACAGG